Telopea speciosissima is the source of this 167-nucleotide long non-coding RNA. RefSeq lists it as uncharacterized. The record is from RefSeq and is a predicted model, not a curated record. The transcript has 2 exons. NCBI's taxonomy places the organism in Eukaryota, Viridiplantae, Streptophyta, Magnoliopsida, Proteales, Proteaceae.
UGUUUUGAGUCUAUUUCUUUUAGUAUUUUAGUUUCCUAGUUAGUUUAAGGUGCCUAAUUAGUUAAGGAUGGGGUUAGGCCUUUCCUUUUUAGUGUAAGAGUCUGUUUUCGAGUCUUCUAUAUAAGUUUGCAAGGGGAUCUAACAUUGUACACGAAUUUUGAUGAAUG